This 253-nucleotide ribosomal RNA is filed under the name uncultured bacterium. RNAcentral describes it as "partial 16S ribosomal RNA". It matches the Rfam family "Bacterial small subunit ribosomal RNA", at positions 524 to 776 of the family's 1533-position model. The record is from RNAcentral.
UACGUAGGGAGCAAGCGUUGUCCAGAAUCAUUGGGCGUAAAGCGCGCGUAGGUGGCCUCAUAAGUCCGCUGUGAAAGUCAAAGGCUCAACCUUUGAAAGCCGGUGGAUACUGUGAGGCUAGAGUACGGAAGAGGCGAGUGGAAUUCCUGGUGUAGCGGUGGAAUGCGCAGAUAUCAGGAGGAACACCAAUAGCGAAGGCAGCUCGCUGGGACGUUACUGACACUGAGGCGCGAAAGCGUGGGGAGCGAACAGG